UUUGCAAGGGGUGAUCAUCCAGAAGAGCCAAAAACUGUGGACCGUGGGAGUGACACCCAGGCUGCUGAAGACUGAACUGAGCCAAGAGCAACCCUGUCAAAUCUCCAUCUUUGUGCCAUGAAAACUGGCUACAACUAUAUUAGGAGCUUUUUUUUGUGCAACUCUGCUGCAAAAAUUAAGAAGAGAGCAGCUAGAAACUGUAUCCUUUUAUUGCUCUGUGUGCCUUACCUCUUUUUUGAGUUCAU
Empidonax traillii (willow flycatcher) is the source of this 245-nucleotide long non-coding RNA. RefSeq lists it as uncharacterized. The transcript has 3 exons. Lineage: Eukaryota; Metazoa; Chordata; Aves; Passeriformes; Tyrannidae. The record is from RefSeq and is a predicted model, not a curated record.